Molecule: long non-coding RNA, 552 nt
Organism: Prunus persica (peach)
Lineage: Eukaryota; Viridiplantae; Streptophyta; Magnoliopsida; Rosales; Rosaceae
Exons: 2
Source: RefSeq, a predicted model, not a curated record
AGGAGAACUUAUACCUGGCUAUCAUAAAAAAUGGUUCCCAAGGCCAACGCUGUUUACAUGAGUCUCUUCAUCCUAUUGCUGUUGUUCUCAUCCAAAGUCGUGUUUGCCAGAGUUUCCCAAUUUUCAGAAACCAAAGAGAAGAUCAAUACGGAGUUUUCGAAGAUGAAGAUUAUUGACCUUAGACUAUACAAAUGUAUAAAUCCGCCAGGCGCUCCAGGUUGUCGUUGAGUGUGCGGACUACCAGCAACAACAACAUAUAACUGUUGUUUACCAAAAACCAGAACGGAAAUAAGGAUGAUUUGGUGCUUAUAGAAAUAAGGAUCUGGUUGAUCGACUUUGGAGGGAAUAUAAUCUUAGGUCAUCUCAUAGUUCUCUGUGUGGUUGUUCUUCUAGGCUGUAUUAGUUUUUUGCCUCUUCUUUCUUUAUUGGCCAUGGCCACUUUACUUGCUUACAUAUAUUUCAAAUGUCCAAGCAAUUUGUUGAAUGACUGAAUAUUCAUCAAUCAAAGUCAUUGAACGAGAUUGCUAGUUUAUGAAUUCUAAUUGAUAGAGC